This 402-nucleotide ribosomal RNA is filed under the name uncultured bacterium. RNAcentral's name for it is "bacterial SSU rRNA". It matches the Rfam family "Bacterial small subunit ribosomal RNA", at positions 355 to 774 of the family's 1533-position model. The record is from RNAcentral.
UGGGGAAUCUUAGACAAUGGGGGCAACCCUGAUCUAGCCAUGCCGCGUGAGUGAAGAAGGCCCUAGGGUCGUAAAGCUCUUUCACCGGGGAAGAUAAUGACGGUACCCGGAGAAGAAACCCCGGCUAACUCCGUGCCAGCAGCCGCGGUAAUACGGAGGGGGUUAGCGUUGUUCGGAAUUACUGGGCGUAAAGCGCGCGUAGGCGGAUCGGAAAGUUGGGGGUGAAAUCCCGGGGCUCAACCCCGGAACUGCCCUCAAAACUGUCGGUCUAGAGUCCGGGAGAGGUGAGUGGAACUCCGAGUGUAGAGGUGAAAUUCGUAGAUAUUCGGAAGAACACCAGUGGCGAAGGCGGCUCACUGGCCCGGUACUGACGCUGAGGUGCGAAAGCGUGGGGAGCAAACA